This 90-nucleotide transfer RNA is filed under the name Bos taurus (domestic cattle). It matches the Rfam family "tRNA". From Rfam's summary of the family: Transfer RNA (tRNA) molecules are approximately 80 nucleotides in length. Their secondary structure includes four short double-helical elements and three loops (D, anti-codon, and T loops). Lineage: Eukaryota; Metazoa; Chordata; Mammalia; Artiodactyla; Bovidae. The record is from Rfam by way of RNAcentral. RNAcentral also lists the same sequence under 2 other names.
CCUUUGAUAGCUCAGCUGGUAGAGCAGAGGACUGUAGACCUGAUAAAUGUGGACAUCCUUAGGUCGCUGGUUCGAUUCCAGCUCAAAGGA